Molecule: ribosomal RNA, 521 nt
Filed under: Euanoma sp. B MB-2018
Lineage: Eukaryota; Metazoa; Arthropoda; Insecta; Coleoptera; Omalisidae
Description: partial 16S ribosomal RNA
Source: RNAcentral
AUGUAUUUUUGAUGAUAAUUUAAGGUUUAAUCUGCUCAAUGAGGAAUUAAAUGACCGCAGUAUAUUGACUGUGCUAAGGUAGCAUAAUCAUUUAGUUUUUUUUAUUGAAAGGUGGAAUGAAUAAUUGGACGAGAGAAUUACUGUAUCUUAAACAAUUAAAAUUGCACUUAAUUUUUAAAUAAAAAAGCUUAAAUUUUAUUUAAAGACGAGAAGACCCUAUAGAGAUUUAAUUUAAUAAAAAUAUUUAAUUUAAUUGGAAUACAAUUUUUAUUUUAUUUAGUAUUUAAUUGGGGUGAUAAAAAGAUUAAUUAAACUUUUUUAAGUUAAAUCAUUGAUUUGUGAAUAUUAAAUCUAUUAUUUUUAAUUUUCAAUUAAAUUAUGUUAGAGAUAACAGCGUAUUUCUUGUAAAGUUCUUAUUUAAAAAAAUGAUUGCGACCUCGAUGUUGGAUUAAAUUUUAUUUUUGGUGUAGAAGCUAAAAAAUUAGGCCUGUUCUACCUUAGAAAAUUUACAUGAUCUGAAU